Molecule: long non-coding RNA, 604 nt
Filed under: Brachypodium distachyon (stiff brome)
Lineage: Eukaryota; Viridiplantae; Streptophyta; Magnoliopsida; Poales; Poaceae
Description: long non-coding RNA (BDIS_LNC003090)
Source: RNAcentral
UACAGCCCAUCCUCUGGUGGUGGUUACAGUCCAUCUUCUCCAGUCUUCAGUCCAGGGCCAGGACAGGGAUACAGCCCGACUUCUCCAUCAUAUAGUCCCGCAUCACCCAGCUAUAGUCCCACUUCUCCAUCAUAUACGCCUGGCUCUCCUAGCUACAGCCCAACAAGUCCGUCGUACUCCCCAACAAGUCCAUCGUACUCUCCAACCAGUCCGUCAUACUCCCCCACAUCUCCAAGCUACAGUCCCACAUCGCCAAGCUACAGUCCCACAUCACCAAGUUAUAGUCCCACUUCUCCGAGCUACAGUCCCACAUCGCCAGUUUAUAGUCCGACCUCUCCAGCAUACAGCCCAACAUCUCCUGCAUACAGCCCGACAUCUCCAUCAUACAGCCCGACAUCGCCAUCAUACAGCCCUACUUCACCUUCAUACAGCCCUACCUCUCCAUCUUACAGCCCUACGUCUCCAUCAUACAGCCCUACGUCUCCUUCAUACAGCCCUACGUCUCCAUCAUACAGCCCGACAUCGCCCUCGUACAGCCCGACAUCGCCUGCAUACAGCCCGACAUCGCCUGGAUACAGCCCAACAUCGCCGAGCUACAGCCCUA